AACCAGACUCCUACGGGAGGCAGCAGUGGGGAGUAUUGCACAAUGGGGGAAACCCUGAUGCAGCGACGCCGCGUGAGUGAAGGAGCGUUUCGGCGCGUAAAGCUCUAUCAGCAGGGAAGACAAACUGCCCCGGAAGGGGCAGCCGGACGGUACCUGACCAAGAAGCCCCGGCUAACUACGUGCCAGCAGCCGCGGUAAUACGUAGGGGGCAAGCGUUAUCCGGAUUUACUGGGUGUAAAGGGAGCGUAGACGGCAGUGCAAGUCUGGAGUGAAAGGCGGGGGCUCAACCCCCGGACUGCUCUGGAAACUGUACGGCUGGAGUGCAGGAGAGGUAAGUGGAAUUCCCAGUGUAGCGGUGAAAUGCGUAGAUAUUAGGAGGAACACCAGUGGCGAAGGCGGCCUACUGGACGGUGACUGACGCUGAGGCUCGAAAGCGUGGGGAGCAAACAGGAUUAGAUACCCUAGUA
RNAcentral lists this ribosomal RNA (467 nucleotides) under uncultured bacterium. Its description in RNAcentral is "bacterial SSU rRNA". It matches the Rfam family "Bacterial small subunit ribosomal RNA", at positions 329 to 792 of the family's 1533-position model. The record is from RNAcentral.